Molecule: ribosomal RNA, 2478 nt
Filed under: Triticum aestivum (bread wheat)
Lineage: Eukaryota; Viridiplantae; Streptophyta; Magnoliopsida; Poales; Poaceae
Description: partial small subunit ribosomal RNA
Source: RNAcentral
AUGCCGAACCCGAUCAUCGUCGUCGCCUACGGCCUCCUCCUGCUCCUCCCCCUGCGCAAUCCCACCUGUCGUGCCGCGACGGACACCAUCUCAGCUGGGCAGGUACUCGCCGGCAAGGACACGCUCGUCUCCAGCAACGGCAAGUUCGCACUGGGCUUCUUCCAACCGAACAGUAAGUCCUCGCGCCAUGCUUCCAACUGGUACCUGGGCGUAUGGUUCAACACAGUCCCAAAGUUCACUCCGGCGUGGGUGGCCAACGGAGAUAAGCCUGUCACUUUGCCGGAGCUCGCAAUCUCCGGCGACGGAAACCUAGUCAUCAUAGACCAGAGCACCAAGUCCAUCAUCUGGUCUACCCAGGCCAACACCACAGCAAACAGCACUAGAGCCAUGCUACUGAAAACCGGUAACCUCGUCCUGCAAAGCACCUCAAACUCUUCCCAUGUCUUGUGGCAAAGCUUUGACUACCCGACGGAUACUCAUCUCGCCGGCGCAAAGCUUGGCCGAGACAAGGUCACCGGCCUGAACCGCCGUCUUGUCUCCAGAAAGAACAUGAUAGACCCUGCUCCUGGGAUGUAUGUUUAUGAGUUGCACGAGAAGAACGGUUCUGCCUGGUUCAGUCUUGCAGCACUCAACUCGUCCAUACCAUACUGGUCGAGUGGAGAAUGGAACGGGCACUACUUUGGUUCUAUACCAGAGAUGUCAGGCCGCCAGUUGAUUGACUUUACGUUCGUCAACAACGAACAAGAGGUGUACUUCACUUAUACCUUGCUGGAUGACGCGACCAUCAUGCGUUUUGCGCUGAAUAACUCUGGUCAAGUCAAGAUACUCUUGUGGGUUGAGCGUGCACAGGAUUGGGUACCAGCCCACACCAAUCCCAACGACCAUUGUGAUGUGUAUGGCAUCUGUGGGCCUUUCACAAUCUGCGACGAGGACAAGCUUCCUUACUGCAGCUGUAUGGAGGGCUUCUCCAUAAGAUCGCCUGAUGACUGGGAGCUAGAAGAUCGAACAGGCGGCUGCAUGAGAAAUGCCCAAUUAGAUUGCAGAAUCAACGACAACACAAGUAUGCAAGACAGGUUCUACUCCCUGCCAUGUGUCGGUUUGCCCGACAAUGGCCGCAAGAUAGGAGAUGCUACAAAUGUAGCUGGAUGUGCACAAGUUUGUCUGCGCAACUGCAAUUGCACUGCGUAUUCCUAUGGUUACAACGGAUGUUUUGUUUGGGAUGAUGAAUUAACCAAUGUGAAACAGCAACGAUGUGGUGAUAUUGGUAACAAUAAGCAAGCUACUCUUUACCUCCGCCUUGCCGACAAAGAGGUGAAAAGGUUGGGAAGGAACAGGCGACGGAUAAUCAUUGGCAGUGCCGUUGGUGCAAGUGUUGCUCUAUUUGGUUUGUUGUCACUCUUCUUUCUACUGAUGACUAGGAGGAUGUGUGCUCACAGGAUGAAAAACCUUCAAGGUGAUGGUGGCAUUAUCAUGUUCAGGUAUGCUGAUUUGCAACGUGCAACAAAAAACUUCUCUGAGAAGCUAGGGACAGGUGGUUUUGGUUCUGUAUUCAAGGGGGUUCUAAAUGACUCGUCUGCAAUAGCAGUUAAAAGGCUUGAUGGUGCUCGUCAAGGCGAGAAGCAAUUCAGAGCUGAAGUGAGAUCAAUUGGGACCAUUCAGCAUAUCAAUUUAGUUAAACUAAUUGGUUUCUGUACCGAGGGUGAUAGGAGGCUGAUUGUCUAUGAACACAUGCAAAAUCGUUCUCUUGAUGCCCAUUUAUUUCAUAGUAAUGCUACAGGCUUAAAAUGGAGCAUCAGGUAUCAAAUUGCUAUCGGAGUUGCUAGAGGACUGGCCUACUUGCAUGAUAGUUGCAGGGAUUGUAUUAUACAUUGUGAUAUUAAGCCAGAGAACAUACUCCUCGAUGCAUCAUUUGCUCCAAAGAUCGCAGACUUUGGGAUGGCAAAGUUUCUUGGAAGGGACUUUAGUCGAGUUCUCACUACAAUGAGAGGAACUAUAGGAUAUCUUGCACCUGAAUGGCUUAGUGGAACUCUUAUUACAGCAAAAGUCGAUGUAUACAGCUAUGGCAUGGUUCUGUUGGAAAUUGUAUCAGGAAAGAGGAACUCAGGUACACAGUGUACAACCGAUGACGAUGAUGUCUAUUUCCCUGUGCAAGUCGUAAAUAAACUACUGCAGGGGGGUGCGGGAAGUUUGAUGGACAGCAAUCUGCACGAUGAUGUCCAUUUGGACCAGGUGGAAAGAGCUUUGAAGGUUGCGUGUUGGUGUAUUCAAGAUCAUGAGUUUGAUCGACCCACAAUGGGUGAAGUAGUUCAAUAUCUUGAAGGUUUUCUUGAAGUCAACAUACCCCCAAUGCCAAGACUACUUGAAGCUAUUGCAGGGAGUGCACACUCGAAAUCCGAUUGGUACCUGGACCAAGCUUCACAAGAGGGGGGACUGAAAGAUGAUGGAGGCAGUGCGCCACACCAUGCAGCUCACCCAUGA